UUUUCUCUAGCUCAGUGGGUACAGAGCAUGAGACUCUUAAUCCCGGGGCCGUGGAUUCAAGACCCACAACAGAAG
Molecule: transfer RNA, 75 nt
Filed under: Pleuronectes platessa (European plaice)
Lineage: Eukaryota; Metazoa; Chordata; Actinopteri; Pleuronectiformes; Pleuronectidae
Rfam family: tRNA
About the family: Transfer RNA (tRNA) molecules are approximately 80 nucleotides in length. Their secondary structure includes four short double-helical elements and three loops (D, anti-codon, and T loops). Further hydrogen bonds mediate the characteristic L-shaped molecular structure. tRNAs have two regions of fundamental functional importance: the anti-codon, which is responsible for specific mRNA codon recognition, and the 3' end, to which the tRNAs corresponding amino acid is attached (by aminoacyl-tRNA synthetases). tRNAs cope with the degeneracy of the genetic code in two manners: having more than one tRNA (with a specific anti-codon) for a particular amino acid; and 'wobble' base-pairing, i.e. permitting non-standard base-pairing at the 3rd anti-codon position.
Source: Rfam by way of RNAcentral